AUGAAAAGCGAAAUCCUCUGUGUCGGUGGAGAUGAUAGUACCCUUUCCUUUUAUGCUGAUCUCUUUAAUUGUAGUAUUGGACAUUUCCCAAUGAAAUACUUGGGAGUCCUAGUCAGUUUCUCCUCUUUGCGUAGCAUAGAUUGGGAUUUUAUGGAUGAGAGGUUCCUUAAAUGUUGUGAAUCAUGGAUUGGUAAUGCGGCAUCUUCGGGUGGGAGGCUCAUCCUUCUCAAUUCCUCUUUAACUAGCAUUGUCUUUUACUACAUGUCCAUGUUCCUUCUUCCUAAAGGGGUGAUUGAGAAACUGGAUAAACACCGUAAGCGGUUCUUUUGGCAAGAACAUGAGGGGCGUAAAUGAUACCAUCUAGUGAGAUGGAAUAGAAUUUGUAGAUCCAAAGAGAAAGGGGGAUUGGGAGUCAAGGAUCUUCAUAAACAGAACUUAAGCCUCCUCACCAAGUGGUGGUGGAAACUGGAAACUAAACAAGGGCUAUGGCAGGAUGUGAUCCGGGCCAAGUACUUUAAGAAAGACACGGUGACCUCUGUCAAAACUAAAUUCAAUGAUUCUCCAAUCUGGAAAGCAAACAUGAAAACUAAAGAUUACUACCUGGCUGGCAGAAAAGUGAAUUUACAAUCUGGAGAUCUUGCUAGACUGUGGGUUGAUCCAGUUGGCAAUGAACCUCCCCUCCAGUUGCAGUUUCCUAUGAUUUAUGAAAUUUGCAAUGAUCAGGAUAUCACGGUUGCUAAGUUCAGGGAAGGGGUGGAGGAAAACUUUUUUAGAAGGCAACUCCACCCUCCCAUGCUUGAGCAA
RNAcentral lists this ribosomal RNA (804 nucleotides) under Triticum aestivum (bread wheat). Its description in RNAcentral is "partial small subunit ribosomal RNA". Lineage: Eukaryota; Viridiplantae; Streptophyta; Magnoliopsida; Poales; Poaceae. The record is from RNAcentral.